This 423-nucleotide ribosomal RNA is filed under the name uncultured bacterium. RNAcentral's name for it is "bacterial SSU rRNA". It matches the Rfam family "Bacterial small subunit ribosomal RNA", at positions 506 to 927 of the family's 1533-position model. The record is from RNAcentral.
UGCCAGCAGCCGCGGUAAUACGAAGGGUGCAAGCGUUACUCGGAAUUACUGGGCGUAAAGGGUGCGUAGGUGGUCGUUUAAGUCCGUUGUGAAAUCCCUGGGCUCAACCUGGGAAUGGCAGUGGAUACUGGACGGCUAGAAUGCGGUAGAGGGUAGUGGAAUUCCCGGUGUAGCAGUGAAAUGCGUAGAGAUCGGGAGGAACACCAGUGGCGAAGGCGGCUACCUGGACCAGCAUUGACACUCAAGCACGAAAGCGUGGGGAGCAAACAGGAUUAGAUACCCUGGUAGUCCACGCCCUAAACGAUGCGAACUGGACGUUGGGAGCAACUUGGCUCUCAGUGUCGAAGCUAACGCGUUAAGUUCGCCGCCUGGGGAGUACGGUCGCAAGACUGAAACUCAAAGGAAUUGACGGGGGCCCGCACA